GGAGAGGUGGCAGAGUGGUUGAAUGUGACGGUCUCGAAAACCGUUGUGCGCGCAAGUGUACCGUGGGUUCGAAUCCCACCCUCUCCGCAA
RNAcentral lists this transfer RNA (90 nucleotides) under Chlorobium ferrooxidans DSM 13031. Its description in RNAcentral is "tRNA-Ser". It matches the Rfam family "tRNA". From Rfam's summary of the family: Transfer RNA (tRNA) molecules are approximately 80 nucleotides in length. Their secondary structure includes four short double-helical elements and three loops (D, anti-codon, and T loops). Lineage: Bacteria; Pseudomonadati; Chlorobiota; Chlorobiia; Chlorobiales; Chlorobiaceae. The record is from RNAcentral.